Molecule: ribosomal RNA, 484 nt
Filed under: uncultured bacterium
Lineage: Bacteria
Description: partial 16S ribosomal RNA
Rfam family: Bacterial small subunit ribosomal RNA
Source: RNAcentral
AUUGAACGCUGGCGGCAUGCUUUACACAUGCAAGUCGAACGGCAGCGCGGGCUUCGGCCUGGCGGCGAGUGGCGAACGGGUGAGUAAUACAUCGGAACGUGCCCAGUAGUGGGGGAUAGCUCGGCGAACGCCGGAUUAAUACCGCAUACGACCUGAGGGUGAAAGCGGGGGAUCUUCGGACCUCGCGCUAUUGCAGCGGCCGAUGGCAGAUUAGCUAGUUGGUGGGGUAAAGGCCUACCAAGGCGACGAUCUGUAGCUGGUCUGAGAGGACGACCAGCCACACUGGGACUGAGACACGGCCCAGACUCCUACGGGAGGCAGCAGUGGGGAAUUUUGGACAAUGGGCGAAAGCCUGAUCCAGCAAUGCCGCGUGUGUGAUGAAGGCCUUCGGGUUGUAAAGCACUUUUGGCGGGAACGAAAAGGACUGUGCCAAUACCACGGUUCGAUGACGGUACCCGCAGAAUAAGCACCGGCUAACUACGUG